GCGGGCAUGGUCUAGGGGUUAUGACAGCGGCUUCCCAAGCCACUUGCUCGGGUUCGAAUCCCGAUGUCCGCA
This 72-nucleotide transfer RNA is filed under the name Thermoplasmata archaeon. Its description in RNAcentral is "tRNA-Gly". It matches the Rfam family "tRNA". From Rfam's summary of the family: Transfer RNA (tRNA) molecules are approximately 80 nucleotides in length. Lineage: Archaea; Methanobacteriati; Thermoplasmatota; Thermoplasmata. The record is from RNAcentral.